This is a long non-coding RNA of Gasterosteus aculeatus aculeatus (three-spined stickleback), 1003 nucleotides long. The record is from Ensembl. Lineage: Eukaryota; Metazoa; Chordata; Actinopteri; Perciformes; Gasterosteidae.
CGCAGACAGUGACACACGCAGGCAUGUCACAUCAAAAAUCAGGGCAUCAAAAACGCAAAGAGAGAAAGGAAAGAAGACAGAGAACGUCGAAAUCGACAGUAUGUCACGUAGUUUUUCAAAAAGAAAGACACAGAUUCAGCGGCUGCUGCAGCACACCCACGUCCUCCUUCCCCCAAGUCCCCCGUCUCAGCCGAACAAGGUCGCUGUGACUGGCGGAUCGGUCGUCAGUGGGGCGGAGGACGAGGGCCAAUCAGGAGACGGAGACGCUGCUUAAGAGGGACGGCGGGCUCAUUCUCUGGGACCCCUCUCUCAGUAUUGCUGACGCUCAGGGCCGCCGAUUGUGGGCUGCUCUCCGGCACCCAGAUUGUUGUGCAUUUCAGACUGUUUUGGAUAAGUGUUUUCGUGUCGUGCCGAUGUUGUCAAUGCAGUCCUCCAUCCGCGGCAAUGGAAAACAAUCCGGUACCUUCACGCACCACAGUAUUAGAGCAUGAUAUUAACGUGGGGGAUGCUGUUCCGGUCAAGCAACAUGCGUACCGCAUGAACUCAGUGAAGAGAGAGCGUAUGCGGGGAGAGGUUGAGUAUUUGGUGGAGCAUGGAUUGGCUCAAGCCAGCUGCAGCCCCUGGAGCUCUCCAUGCCUCCUGAUACCGAAGAGUGACGGCACUGAUCGGUUUUGUACGGACUAUCGUAAGGUUAAUGCGCUCACGGUACCGGAUUGUUUUCCAUUGCCGCGGAUGGAGGACUGCAUUGACAACAUCGGCUCGGCCCGUUAUGUCAGUAAAUUGGAUCUACUAAAAGGGUACUGGCAGGUGCCGCUUACGUCUCGCGCUUCUGACAUCUCCGCUUUCGUGACACCGCAUAGUUUCCUGCAAUAUUCUGUGAUGGCGUUCGGCAUGCGUAACGCACCGGCUACUUUCCAGCGACUCGUUAAUCGUGUGUUGUCGGGGGUGCCUAAGUGUAACGCGUAUCUGGAUGAUCUAGUAGUGUACUCGUCCGACUGGCCCG